AGCAGCCGCGGUAAUUCCAGCUCCAAUAGCGUAUAUUAAAGUUGUUGCAGUUAAAAAGCUCGUAGUUGAAUUUCGGGAUCAAUAUGUCUGUCGUGCCUUCGGUACGUACGGGUAUAAUUGGUUUCUACCUUCUGAUGAACCUUGAUGCCAUUAAUUUGGUGUCUUGGGGACUCAGGACUGUUACCUUGAAAAAAUUAGAGUGUUUAAAGCAGGCAUACGCUUGAAUACAUUAGCAUGGAAUAAUGAAAUAGGACGUUCGAUUCUAUUUUGUUGGUUUCUAGGAUCGACGUAAUGAUUAAUAGGGAUAGUUGGGGGCAUUAGUAUUCAAUUGUCAGAGGUGAAAUUCUUGGAUUUAUUGAAGACUAACUACUGCGAAAGCGUUUGCCAAGGAUGUUUUCAUUAAUCAAGAACGAAAGUUAGGGGAUCGAAGACGAUCAGAUACCGUCGUAGUCUUAACCAUAAACUAUGCCGACCAGGGAUCGGAUGAUGUUAAUUUUUAAUGACUCAUUCGGCGCCUUAC
This 520-nucleotide ribosomal RNA is filed under the name uncultured Glomus. Its description in RNAcentral is "SSU rRNA". It matches the Rfam family "Eukaryotic small subunit ribosomal RNA", at positions 569 to 1091 of the family's 1831-position model. Lineage: Eukaryota; Fungi; Glomeromycota; Glomeromycetes; Glomerales; Glomeraceae. The record is from RNAcentral.